UUUAGAUGGUCACUUAUGCCUGAAUUCUCAUUCUCAUGUAUUGAGUUUCUGUAAAGAAGGUCCUAUUGUACUGUUAUCUUUUCAGGGAUGCUCUGGAGCCAGCUCAUACCUGCUUACAAGAAGCAAAUGUUAAAUUUUCAAUCAAGCUUUUAUUCAGCCUUUUCUUGAGGAGGACAUCUAAUGAAGAGAGUGUUACCUCCUUCUGGUGAAGUCCAUUCAACUUUUGGAUGACUUUAAUGUUAAUCCCUAAGCCUGGAAUGAGGCAGCUAGGUGGCAGUGGAGAUAGCAUUUAUCCUGGAAUCAUGAAGAGGAUACUGGCAUGUCAGAGAACUUUUUCUAUCUAUUCUUCAUUGACAAAAGAGAGAUGACUCCUGCUGGCAGCAUGCUAAGCGUUCCAACAUCUUGGUGUGGUGGCUGCUAUUGUCUGGGUUUGGUGAAAUUACUGAAUAAGAUUGCUGGUAACUUUCAAUUGGAAUGAUUGGCUC
This 485-nucleotide long non-coding RNA is filed under the name Monodelphis domestica (gray short-tailed opossum). RNAcentral's name for it is "lncRNA (ENSMODG00000042366.1)". The record is from RNAcentral. Lineage: Eukaryota; Metazoa; Chordata; Mammalia; Didelphimorphia; Didelphidae.